GAGCGGGGUAAAGCCAGA
RNAcentral lists this small RNA (18 nucleotides) under Arabidopsis thaliana (thale cress). RNAcentral describes it as "Ath_wt_04548". Lineage: Eukaryota; Viridiplantae; Streptophyta; Magnoliopsida; Brassicales; Brassicaceae. The record is from RNAcentral.